Molecule: non-coding RNA, 72 nt
Organism: Lamprotornis superbus
Lineage: Eukaryota; Metazoa; Chordata; Aves; Passeriformes; Sturnidae
Source: the annotation of a GenBank genome assembly
GACUGGCUCAGCUGGUGAGAGCAUGAUGCUAAUAACACCAAGCUUGUGAAGGUUCAAUCCCUGCACAGGCCA